UCGAGCAGGGUCGAAAGACGGACUUAGUGAUCCGGUGGUUCCGCAUGGAAGGGCCAUCGCUCAACGGAUAAAAGCUACCCCGGGGAUAACAGGCUUAUCUCCCCCAAGAGUUCACAUCGACGGGGAGGUUUGGCACCUCGAUGUCGGCUCAUCGCAUCCUGGGGCUGUAGUCGGUCCCAAGGGUUGGGCUGUUCGCCCAUUAAAGCGGUACGCGAGCUGGGUUCAGAACGUCGUGAGACAGUUCGGUCCCUAUCCGUCGUGGGCGUAGGAAAUUUGAGAGGAGCUGUCCUUAGUACGAGAGGACCGGGAUGGACAUACCUCUGGUGUACCAGUUGUCGUGCCAACGGCAUAGCUGGGUAGCUAUGUGUGGACGGGAUAAGUGCUGAAAGCAUCUAAGCAUGAAGCCCCCCUCAAGAUGAGAUUUCCCAACUUCGGUUAUAAGAUCCCUCAAAGAUGAUGAG
This 461-nucleotide ribosomal RNA is filed under the name Staphylococcus aureus. RNAcentral's name for it is "partial 23S ribosomal RNA". It matches the Rfam family "Bacterial large subunit ribosomal RNA", at positions 2389 to 2851 of the family's 2925-position model. Lineage: Bacteria; Bacillati; Bacillota; Bacilli; Caryophanales; Staphylococcaceae. The record is from RNAcentral.